GUAAGUGUCAGGAACAAGGCGUGCUGGGCAUGGGGGCUGGUGGCCACGCUGGUCAGAGGCUCCGCAGGCCCUGCCACCGAGACACCAUGAGACCUGAACCUGGGCUCCCUCCCGAGACCCCUAACCACAGAGCCCUUUCCCAGGGACCUCAUUAACGUCUCACAGAGCUGGUGCUCCAGGAGCAGCUUCUGGAAGCCCUGGGCCAGCCAGAUGCCCCCCGCCCCGACCCCCCAGCACAGAGCUUCAGUGUUUGAGGUUUGGUGUGGCUCCACGCAGCAGAGCCCCCGAGUCAUCGAACAGCAUCCUCAGCUAAAGGGCGGAGAGCUCUUCAGCAGCGGGGAGAGUUCAGACCCCAUCCCCACCCUCCACUGCUGGGUGUUUCUCACGGGGUUCAGUGGCCAUUUAAGAGCUCGGGGCCCCCGCCACCAUCUCUCUCACCCGCAGGCCCUCAUAUGCUCCCUGCUUGCCGGCGCCAACUUCCCCGAAUACGGUGCCAGCCCACCACCCCUCACUAAACUGCCGCCUCGGCCCCCGACACCAGGAAGGAAAGUCUGAGUCAUUCACAGGCUUCACCUUCUAGUGACAGCCUCCCUUUCCCACUUCAGCUCCUAACAUGGAGGUCACACCUGCUUGUCCCCGACCCUCUUCCCCGGGACUCUCAGGACAUCCAGCUUCCCCCAGAGGCACCUCCCUGUCUGCUCUACUCCCCUCAUCAAAAUGGCCCGCGCCCAGGGCCAUCUCCUCCCAGCUCUGCAUCCUAAGCUGGUCUGAAGGGCUGAUUCAUACUAGAGUGGAAAUGGCUGAAAAGUGCAUUGCUGGGUGAAUUUUCCCUGGAAACACGUUACUAUUUACAUGGUACUCCUGGAAGUCACCCUUUAGCCAAAGGCAUGGAGUUUUAGAGCAGAGAGGCCCCUGGACUUGAAGUGGGAGCCACUGCCUGCUCCUGCUGCUCCUCUCCCUUCUCGAGGCCCAUAGCCAGACAGGGACAGGACCAGCCCCUCAGCGAGUUGGUGGCAGGGCUGGGUCAGGAUCCCAGAGGUCUGGCCUGCAGUACAGACCCCUCCCUUUCCCGACCCAGCUGAGAGCGGGAGGCUGAGAGCCCUCUGACCCCCGGAAGCAUCCCCGGGUCGUGGGAUUCCCAGAACCAGAGAGGGGUCCCACGGGAGGGGUCAGUGGGGAGUGGAUGUGCGGCCCUAUCACCAGGCGGGCAGGGGGGCCCUGGGCCUCCAAACAGCAGGCUAAUUGGCGCCUGGCGGAGCACGCUCUUAAACAGCGGCCCGGCUUCCCUGCCCUGCUCCGCGUGCUGACUCCACUCCCCAAAUGCAGACUGAUACAGCCCUUCCCUGCGGGGCCGCCCCGGAAGCCUCUGACCCGGGCCUCGCCCAGCCAGAAGGCAGCAUGGCGGCUGGGGCUGCAGGCCUGGGGGGAAUGUCCCCUGACCUCGGGGCCCAAGCAUCGCAGGGAAGCCAGCGGGAGACAGAUGCCAGCUCCAGAGGCUGGGGAGGUUAGAGCCGGCCGCAUAAACAGUGAUAGGGAACCGCGUCUGUGCCAGGACGCCGGGACGGGGACCCGAGCUCCCAGCAGAGCACAGCCCGCAGGAAUUGCCCAACCCAUCUGAAACAAGGGUUUCAGAUUCCAGCACCAGCCCCCCCCACCCACAGCUGUCAGGAGCCAGGCCUCCCUGCCUCCCCGAUUGCCUAAGGUGUGGGGACGACGACAGCAGAGCAGGGUGAAAAGGCCAGGCGUCCCUGGGCCCCCGCACACUCUCUUCUGUGGACAGGAUAUGAGGGGGACAGGAACAAGGCCUCAGUACAGCAGUGGCCCCGGGGACCCUUCUCCUCCCAGAACUGCCCUGUGGUAUCACCCGCUUGCCCCUGGGACACAGGGAAGAGCCAAGUCCACUCCUGCCUGCGAAGGAUGUGGGGCCUGGCGAUAUCUCCCACAACCCUUGCCCCCGCUGGCCCCCCACCUUUCUCAAAACGACCGGCUCUGGGGGAGCUGACGAGGCCUCCUCGCCCACUGCGGUCCGUCCCGGGACGGCCCCCCAGCUCAGCAGGACUCCCUCAGCCUCCCUGUCACACACAGGCUGACCCCCUCAUAGGCCAGCCCCUCCUGGGGCAGAAGGCAAAGCCGACCCCAUUCCUUUCACUGUCGUUUACCAAAUCUCUCCUUUUUUCUGCAGAACCUAAUUUUUUUUUCAUUCGCGCCCCAUUGACUAAGCACUGUAAAGCGCAAGGCGGUGGGCGCCGCCUCAUUCCCCUGGACCCCACUGCGAGGCAGACGUUGUCAUCCCGUCUACAGAGGUGAGAGAUUCGGCUCUCCUCGCGGUAUCUUCUUUUCCAAACACAUGAUUUUCCUUGAAGUCAAAAAGAGCUUCCAUAAACAGCCGACCCACAGUUCACAGAGCACCCCAGCAGGCACGGUCCCCAGAGGGACUGCCGACACCCGGAGUCCAUCCAGGCCACGGCCACGGCCUGGGAUCAGCCCAAAACUGGUGGAGCCCAUUAAGGGUCACGACCUGGUAAUUUAUAAAGCACCCACUGUGUCCAUGGUCCACGGGGCCACAAAGGCCACCAGUUCGCUUCCUGGGAGGAGCUUACCUUUGGAAGCUAAAACUGUGACAGCUCUGCACCCAAGCAGGGGGCUCCGGGAAGAGGGGCCUUUCCAAAGGCUUCUGGGAGGAGGCGGAGAUGGCCCGGGGCUCCACAGACGGGGGAGAUUCAGAAGCUGGGUCCAAGUGACAGGAGAGCCCAGUGUCCUCGCUACACCACGUAGCAUGUCACCUGACCUCCGGGAGCCUCAGUUUCCUUUCAAAUGGGACUCACGUCAGUACCUCCCUCAGAGUCAGGGUCAGUGGGCUCUCCUCGCUGACCCACCCCCCGGGCCAGCCUCCUGGGCUCCUGCCCACCAGGGAAAAGGAAGAAACGAGGCCACGGGAACUUUGUCUCCUGCCACGUGGAAGCAGCCAGCCGUGGUGAGGCCACACACUGUCACACAGACUUCAGAUGCCAGAGAACCAAGAGGGCGUCCAGCAGGGUGAGGCCCUGUGGCCUGCUGCCUGGUGGGGUUCUGGGACUCCGGGAAACUGUGCUGCCACCGGCGCCCCAGGUUGGCCUCAGACCGGGCUGGCGGAGCCGCCCAGUGUUUGAAACCUCGCUUGACUGGCAAUAGCCGGCCUGCCAAGGAAUCUGCAGAUCUCCACAUUCAUGAAUGCCCUGUGGGGUGUGACCCCGUGAGACGCAGGCAGGGGUCACAGAGAAGCGCCUGCGAGCCCCCCUCCUGAUAAGCCACACGAGUGAAGGGGAGUGGUCCUCAGAGCACUGGGCUCUUCUUGGCUGGGCCGGCUGCUUCUUCCAAGGAGCAGCUUGCCUGGGGUCCAGAUGCCCAAGCCCCUGAUGAGGAUCCAGCCACGGAAUGACAGGGCUGGACAGUGGGCCCGGGCCCAUCGCUGGAGCCACACACUGGCCCCGGCGCCCAGUUCCCCACCAUAGCUGGAGCAAAAGGCAAAAGCCACCUCCCCAAUCUGUGUUGAGACUUCACGGACGGCAGAACAGUGCCGGGCUCUGCUCCCGCCCGCCAGCCUGUGCCACCUCCUCCGUCAGAGCGGGCUCCUCCAGCAUCCAUCCCUUUUCAGGCCACCUCCUAGAGACCAGCUGGCCACCCGUCUACAGCAGCCCACCUCGGCCCCUCGGGCAUCCCCUUGCGGCCUCCUCUCAAAGCGCUAAGCUGUCUCUAAGUUGGCCUGCUCUGUGAUCUGAUCCGUGUUCAUCUUCUGCCUCCGUGGGGCCUGACACGCUCCUGCUGCAUCUCCCGAGCCGAGAGCCCUGGAGGGAGGUCACUAUCUGCUGAAUGACGACUGAAUGUUGAAAAGGAAAAUGCUCUGUGACCAACACACCUGAGUUGAAUCCCAGCCCUGCUGCUGCCUUGUGACCGCGGGCCAGUUACUUAAUCUUUCUAGUCCAUAAAACAGAGAGAGUGAUGCCGAGGUCCCCAGGCCAGCGCCCUCUCCCCUCCUCUCUGCCUGCCCACAAUCCUCAGAAUGACAGGAUUGAUUCAAAGGCCUUGGUGCCACCGCCACCCCAAAGGCAAAAGCUGCAGUCGCUCUGCUCCCUCGGUGCCCGGGCGCUCUCAGGAGAGGCUCCGAUGUGUUGACACGAGGGCAUUGUGGGCACCAAAAUAAUCCGAUUGCACUUGGAGAGAGGGAGAGCGAGGGGGAGGGAUCAUCGAGCAUCAGACAGGCAGCUAUUCUCCAGGAGGCCAUUUCAUCGUUCUUUCUCAUAUUCCCGGUUUCUAAGAGAUCCCCUAAAUAAAGCAGUUGUAUUAUUUUGUGACUCAUAAAAUACACGUUAUAGUGAUAACAUAGCUAUAAUCAUAACUACACUGAUUGAACACAUACUACACACCGUAAAGCUCUCAAGGUGGGUCUUACUCUCCCACUUUGCAGCUGGUAAAACCGUGGCUCAC
RNAcentral lists this long non-coding RNA (4464 nucleotides) under Equus caballus (horse). RNAcentral's name for it is "lncRNA (ENSECAG00000036242.3)". The record is from RNAcentral. Lineage: Eukaryota; Metazoa; Chordata; Mammalia; Perissodactyla; Equidae.